AGAGUUUGAUCCAUGGCUCAGGAUGAACGCUGGCGGCGUGCUUAACACAUGCAAGUCGAACGAAGCACCUCAAUCGAAGAUUGAACCAGCUUGCUGGGAAUUGAUUCACCCGAGGUGACUGAGUGGCGGACGGGUGAGUAACGCGUGGAGAACCUGCCCCGUACCGGGGGAUAACAGUUAGAAAUGACUGCUAAUACCGCAUAAGCGCACAGCAUCGCAUGAUGCAGUGUGAAAAACUCCGGUGGUACGGGAUGGCUCCGCGUUGGAUUAGCCAGUUGGCGGGGUAACGGCCCACCAAAGCGACGAUCCAUAGCCGGCCUGAGAGGGCGACCGGCCACAUUGGGACUGAGACACGGCCCAAACUCC
Molecule: ribosomal RNA, 366 nt
Filed under: uncultured Anaerostipes sp.
Lineage: Bacteria; Bacillati; Bacillota; Clostridia; Lachnospirales; Lachnospiraceae
Description: bacterial SSU rRNA
Rfam family: Bacterial small subunit ribosomal RNA
Source: RNAcentral